CCGCCUCUCUCAUCCCUCCAUCACCAUUCACACGCGAGCGAAAGCGUUAGCUGCCCUCUCUCUCCUACCGGCGGUUUCCCGACUCGAGGAGGGCUAGCAGGUUAGUAUUUUGCAUCCUCUCCCAGUAGCACGAGCUCGAUAGCCGGAUCCGGUCACCAUCGUCGGAAGGCCUCGGAUCCAUGUUUUUCUCGGCGGAGACGGAGCGGAAGCAACCGGAGACAGCGACGACGCUGCCGCAGGAGCCGAACGGAGUGGCUGCACAGGGAAAUACCUGCGGAAGCUUCUCGCUUCCAACCAUGAAGACGUGGGGUAGCCUGCAGGUGCUACGCUCCGUGAGCGUGAACGGCAAGGACGAGGCGGACGGCAGCGGCGGUGGCGACAGCGCUGGCGGACAGCGUCUCUCAGAUACGGAGGGGAUCAGGGCUGGUGAUCCAGAGGGAGGCAGUGGCGACAGCAGCGCGGUUGAAGAGGUGAGGGAGAAGCUGUUGGUUCACCUCCGGGAAGCGGCGGAACGAAUCAAGCUGAUAGUUCAUGAAUCGCCACCGCUGCCGCCGUCUCCAUCCAAAGGCGACGAGUCCAGGGCGGAUGCGGUUCGGACGGAGGGGACCGAAGCGGAGCCGUCGUCAUCCGCUCCCACGUGGCCGUGGAAGCUGCGGACGAGGCGAAGGGGGGCUAGGGUUCGGGCGAUGUUCGAGCCGCAAGCGAGCGGAUCGCUCCCUGCUGCCGGCGAGAAAAAAGCGGCGCGGCCGAGGUCAGGCAUCCCUGAGCUGCGCGAGCGGCCCGAUUUCUCGGUAACCCUUACAAGGGAGGAGAUCGACGAGGACAUCUACGCGGUGACGGGUUACAGAGCACGCCGCCGGCCUCGGAGGCGACCCCGUGUCGUCCAAAAGCAGCUCGAUCUGCUGUUCCCUGGUUCAUGGCUGUCGGAGAUCACCUACGAAUCCUACAAGGUUACGGAUUAGAAGCACGGCCGUCGGAAGCGGCGGCGGCUCAAUACAUCCGCCAAUCCGCGAAAGAAGCCAUAUAUCUUCUAACCUGCUUUCGCCAUUGAUAAAGCUUCUCCUAAUCUAUCGAGGAGCAAAAAAUUACAGGACAUCAUUAGUAUUUGAAGCAGAACAAGGAACUAGUAGCUCAUCCAGCUCAUUUGGUCUCUUUCUAACAUCGCGUCCUGUCAAACAAACUCCUAACCUAAAGCUGUUUUAG
This is an RNA transcript of Zingiber officinale, 1203 nucleotides long. RefSeq lists it as uncharacterized. Lineage: Eukaryota; Viridiplantae; Streptophyta; Magnoliopsida; Zingiberales; Zingiberaceae. The transcript has 3 exons. The record is from RefSeq and is a predicted model, not a curated record.